This 404-nucleotide ribosomal RNA is filed under the name Verrucomicrobiota bacterium. RNAcentral describes it as "Verrucomicrobia bacterium partial 16S ribosomal RNA". It matches the Rfam family "Bacterial small subunit ribosomal RNA", at positions 355 to 776 of the family's 1533-position model. The record is from RNAcentral. Lineage: Bacteria; Pseudomonadati; Verrucomicrobiota.
UGGGGAAUAUUGCACAAUGGGCGCAAGCCUGAUGCAGCAACGCCGCGUGAACGAUGAAGGUCUUCGGAUCGUAAAGUUCUGUUGCAGGGGAAGAUAAUGACGGUACCCUGUGAGGAAGCCCCGGCUAACUACGUGCCAGCAGCCGCGGUAAUACGUAGGUGGCAAGCGUUGUCCGGAAUUAUUGGGCGUAAAGCGCGCGCAGGUGGUUUAGACAGUCUGAUGUGAAAGCCCACGGCUCAACCGUGGAGGGUCAUUGGAAACUAAUAAACUUGAGUGCAGGAGAGAAAAGUGGAAUUCCUAGUGUAGCGGUGAAAUGCGUAGAGAUUAGGAGGAACACCGGUGGCGAAAGCGGCUUUUUGGCCUGCAACUGACACUGAGGCGCGAAAGCGUGGGGAGCAAACAGG